AAUGGUCUUGAACACUCCACCACAAGCCGGUAGGAUUUGUUCUUCGAUUCUUCAAUUAAGCAGUAAAAUAAAUCAAGGAAAUAAAACUCGAAUAUAACGUAAGGUUAAUCCGGUAUAAAGUUGCACAGUAGUUUCCGGUGUAGAAACUAUUACGCGAAAAAAUAUCUAAAAGCUAAAAACGGAAAAAAUAAAUUGCAAGGGAAAAGAGAAAGUAAAGCUUGCAAAAG
Molecule: long non-coding RNA, 227 nt
Filed under: Lathyrus oleraceus (garden pea)
Lineage: Eukaryota; Viridiplantae; Streptophyta; Magnoliopsida; Fabales; Fabaceae
Description: Pisum sativum (pea) long non-coding RNA (PSAT_LNC014520)
Source: RNAcentral